This 639-nucleotide ribosomal RNA is filed under the name Aspergillus sydowii. Its description in RNAcentral is "eukaryotic LSU rRNA". It matches the Rfam family "Eukaryotic large subunit ribosomal RNA", at positions 21 to 675 of the family's 3401-position model. The record is from RNAcentral. Lineage: Eukaryota; Fungi; Ascomycota; Eurotiomycetes; Eurotiales; Aspergillaceae.
GUUACCCGGNGGGACUAAGCAUAUCAAUAAGCGGAGGAAAAGAAACCAACCGGGAUUGCCUCAGUAACGGCGAGUGAAGCGGCAAGAGCUCAAAUUUGAAAUCUGGCCCCUCCGGGGUCCGAGUUGUAAUUUGCAGAGGAUGCUUCGGGUGCGGCCCCUGUCUAAGUGCCCUGGAACGGGCCGUCAGAGAGGGUGAGAAUCCCGUCUUGGGCAGGGUGCCCGUGCCCGUGUGAAGCUCCUUCGACGAGUCGAGUUGUUUGGGAAUGCAGCUCAAAAUGGGUGGUAAAUUUCAUCUAAAGCUAAAUACCGGCCGGAGACCGAUAGCGCACAAGUAGAGUGAUCGAAAGAUGAAAAGCACUUUGAAAAGAGAGUUAAACAGCACGUGAAAUUGUUGAAAGGGAAGCGCUUGCAACCAGACUCGGCCUCGGGGUUCAGCCAGCAUUCGUGCUGGUGUACUUCCCCGGGGCCGGGCCAGCGUCGGUUUGGGCGGCCGGUCAAAGGCCCCAGGAAUGUAUCGUCCUCCGGGACGUCUUAUAGCCUGGGGUGCAAUGCGGCCAGCCUGGACCGAGGAACGCGCUUCGGCACGGACGCUGGCGUAAUGGUCGCAAACGACCCGUCUGACCCCCGGACCUAGGAGUU